GGUUGGUGGAAUCAUAGCCUCCAGGGCCUCUGGUCCCCCUCACCCUGUGCCUUCGUGGAAGGGAGGCCUGAGAGCUGUCCCCGGUCACCGGGGCCCCUGCCCUGACGCCAGGGGUCAGCCUCUCAAGGUUAGGGUCUGUCUCCUUCCCUCCCUCCCUUCAGCUUCGCACGUAAAGGGCACCCAGCUGCAGGACCUGCCUGUGUCCUCCGAGGCGCUGUCGGCCUGCGGGCUUGUGGCGGGGCCUCCGGGUGAAGCUCGAGGAGUGGAGCUGGGCCGGGUCGAUCGCUUCGUUUGGAUGGAAAAGAACCUAAAAUUUCUCAAUAAGGUUUCUAUUGAUUAGACGGUGGAAUGACCAUAUUUGGGGCAUGCUCAUGGGUUAAAUUCACUUGUUUGUUUUUCCUUUUUUGGGGGGCCGCAUUCGAGAGACUUGGAAGGUCCCUGGGCCAGGGAUUGAAUCAGAGCCGCAUGGGCGACCUACGCCACAGCUGAGGUAACACGGGACCCUUAACCCACUGCAGCACAGCGGGAACUCCCUGCUGCACGUCUCUGAGCCACACUGUCUUCCUUGAGGAGGCGCUGCUGAGGGUGACGGAGACCCCCCUACUGGAGGUGCCACUGAGGUGUGGCAGGGAGGGGGCAUCCAUCCGUCUGUCCCCAGGCCUCGGACCCUGGUGCCUGAGAGACACGGAUGCUGCAAGACUCCAUCUCCAGCACCACCACUGCUGCGCUCAGACCCUGGGGCUCUGUCAGGAGUCUGCCCUGCACGGCUUUUAUCAAAACAUCCAAAACUAGGCCAGAGACAAGGCCAGGGAACCUGCAGCCUUCGGGCCACUCCAGGCCGCCUACCAGGUUCCGGCAGAGCUGCCGGGCGGGACGUGGACCCCGCGGGCACUUUCGAGCCUCUGCACCCCAGCGUCCCUUCUGCUGCCGAAAGAGUUCUCCACAGAGCGCUGCUGGAGUCCGGGAGCCUGGAGUCCGUGAACCUGGACGAGAAAACAGUCACAUCCAUAUCGGCACCAACUAAAUUCAGCAUCGCCCUGCCUUGUGAAUGUGAGCAGCAAAACCCAGUGAGGUCUGUGGUUUUGCCACCGACGUUAUCAACCACAAACCCUACUGGGUUUCCGAACAUCCUACCUUUAUUGCAGAAAUUUCAGGAUGGCAUUUGGACUCAAAUCACGGUAGUUCUUAAAUCCACCACUAGGUAUUCUUUUAAAUGUGCUAAGAAGAAGUUGGAGUUCCCUGGUGGCCUAGCUGGUUAGGGAUCCUGCAUUAUCACUGCUGUAGCUGGGUUAGAUUCCUGGCCUGGGAGUGUCUGCAGGCUGCUGGCCAAAAAAAAAGAAGAAGAAGGAGAAAAGGAAGAGGAAGGGGAAGAAAAGAAGAAGAGGCAUGUAUAUUAAAAAAUAGUUUGACAAAUUUCAGUGCAUUUGGCUUCCUUUAUAAUCCUACGUAUUUUGCUAUUUUGCAUUGUGCAUUUAAAAACAUGAUCCUGGAGUUCCCGUCGUGGCGCAGUGGUUGACGGGUCCGANGUGGAAGUUCCCCGGCCAGGGACUGAAUCUGAGCCACGACAGUGACCCAAGCCACCGCAGUGAAAAUGCUGGAUCCUUAACCUGCUGCACCAGAAGAACACUCAAAAGCCUAGUUGAGGUAAUGCCGGGGAGCUGAUAUUCUGGAGCGCUGGCAGUCAUUUUGUGACUCUGAGGGUAAAGCUGACUCAGUGAGAAGGGCAGAUUGAGGAGUGGGGGAAGUUCCAGGGUCCUUUCCCAGCUAUGACCAGAAUUAACCAACCGGGGAAAGUCCCCUCUUCUGGGCUUCUUAUUUCUUGCUGUAACACAUGGCCUUGUUGUUUAGCCAGUUGAGUCAGGGGUUUCUGUUUUGGGCCCUGAAGACUGCAUGCCUGAAAGAUGGUGUUUCCAGAGGGGUCCGGGAAUGGCCUAGAGAAAGACAGGUGAGACUAGAAUUCUGCUGGCCUGGACAGAGGCGUUGCGUGAAUUAGGAAGGAUGCUCCCCUGGCUGGGGCUAGCCUUUUGGCACAAAGAAAAGCCUCCGGUCUGGGAGUUCUUGUUGUGGCUCAGCAGGUUAAGAACCAGAUGAGUAUCCAUGAGGAUGCGGAUUUGAUCCCUGGCCUCACUCAGUGGGUUAAGAAUCCAGCGUUGUCACAAGCUGUGGUAUACGUCUCAGAUGUGGCUCAGAUCCUGCGUUGCUGUGGCUGUGGUGUAGGCCGGCAGCUGCAGCUCCAAUUCAACCCUUAGCCUGGGAACUUCCAUAUGCUGGGAGUUUGGCCCUAAAGAGACAAACAAACAAAAAAAGCCUCUAGGCUGACACAGCCACCCAUCUAGAGCACAGGCUUGUCUAAGGGGCCUUGAGCUGGCUCUCCCCGCCCCCUAGAGCCUUUGUGCAGGAUUCGACCUGGGAGGCCCUGGGAGAGGACCCCGGAUGGAGAGCAGGGAGGCUUCGUGGAGGGGUGUGUGGGGAGGGCAGGGCCUGAGGAAGGCAGCUGGCACCCUUAAGGGAGACCCUCCAAUGGCCGCGCCCACGACCUGCAGCUUCUUCUGCCUCAGACGCCCUGCAGAUGCGCUCCUUGUUCCGGCCCCAAACUGCCCUUGUCCCUAUCUGAGCACUGCCAUCAAUGCCCUGGACCCUUGCAAAGUGUCCCGGACAUGCACUGAGCGGGUAGAAAGGGGCUGGCAGGAUACCCGAGCCAGGCAGGUAGUAGAUGCUGCUCACUUCCCCGUGUGGGCAUUUCAAACCCCCCAGGCGGCUGGCACUCCCUGAACCAUCUUGCUCGCUGGGCAGAGUCCACCCCCCGGCUCUCCGGGGAAGCAGCCAG
RNAcentral lists this long non-coding RNA (2827 nucleotides) under Sus scrofa (pig). Its description in RNAcentral is "lncRNA (ENSSSCG00030003638.1)". The record is from RNAcentral. Lineage: Eukaryota; Metazoa; Chordata; Mammalia; Artiodactyla; Suidae.